UGUAAUACCUCCCACUUUGUUCUUUCUCAAGAUUUCUUUGGUUAUUUGAGAUCUUUUGUGGUUCCACAUAAAUUUUAUAAUUAGUUGCUCUAAUUCUGAAAAGAAUGUCAUGGGUAUUUUAAUAGUGAUUACAUUGAAUCUGUAUAUUUCUUUGGGUAGUAAGAUUAUUUUAACAAUAUUAAUUCUUCCAAUCCAUGCUGCAGGUUUUCAUGGACUACACGUCAUCAUUGGCUCUACUCUCCUUGUUGUAUGUUUUCAACAUCAACUAAAAUUCCACUUCACAAGCAAGGCAAAGCCACAACAGCACUAAGAUGAAGUCUUCUUCACUGGUCUCUCUCAUUCACUCAAACCAGAGUUUAUCAGCUUCUCUCCUGAGUAAAGGAAGAUGGAUUUGGAAUAAAUAGGAAUUCACAUGGAAGGAGUUCCACAUGGAAGGUCCAUUCUGGAGUGUGAUAAGAAGUGCAUCUUUUCAGCAUUUCUCAAGUGGUACCCCAGCAUUUGCCUUGACAUUCAAUCAAUCUCAUCAUCCAAAACAAGAG
Molecule: long non-coding RNA, 539 nt
Organism: Phyllostomus discolor (pale spear-nosed bat)
Lineage: Eukaryota; Metazoa; Chordata; Mammalia; Chiroptera; Phyllostomidae
Exons: 3
Source: RefSeq, a predicted model, not a curated record